GACGAACGCUGGCGGCGUGCCUAAUACAUGCAAGUAGAACGCACAGUUUAUACCGUAGCUUGCUACACCAUAGACUGUGAGUUGCGAACGGGUGAGUAACGCGUAGGUAACCUGCCUGGUAGCGGGGGAUAACUAUUGGAAACGAUAGCUAAUACCGCAUAAUAUUAAUUAUUGCAUGAUAAUUAAUUGAAAGGUGCAAUUGCACCACUACCAGAUGGACCUGCGUUGUAUUAGCUAGUAGGUGAGGUAACGGCUCACCUAGGCGACGAUACAUAGCCGACCUGAGAGGGUGAUCGGCCACACUGGGACUGGGACACGGCCCAGACUCCUACGGGAGGCAGCAGUAGGGAAUCUUCGGCAAUGGACGAAAGUCUGACCGAGCAACGCCGCGUGAGUGAAGAAGGUUUUCGGAUCGUAAAGCUCUGUUGUAAGAGAAGAACGGGUGUGAGAGUGGAAAGUUCACACUGUGACGGUAGCUUACCAGAAAGGGACGGCUAACUACGUG
This 505-nucleotide ribosomal RNA is filed under the name uncultured bacterium. Its description in RNAcentral is "partial 16S ribosomal RNA". It matches the Rfam family "Bacterial small subunit ribosomal RNA", at positions 28 to 507 of the family's 1533-position model. The record is from RNAcentral.